GUUAGGAAUAUUGGACAAUGGGCGAAAGCCUGAUCCAGCCAUGCCGCGUGAACGAUGAAGGCCUUCGGGUUGUAAAGUUCUUUAGCCGAUGAUUAUAAUGACUGUAGUCGGAAAAUAAGCCCCGGCUAACUUCGUGCCAGCAGCCGCGGUAAUACGAAGGGGGCGAGCGUUAUUCGGAAUCACUGGGCGUAAAGCGUGCGUAGGCGGUUUUGUAAGUUAGGAGUGAAAGCCAAGGGCUCAACCUUGGAAUUGCUCUUAAAACUGCAAGGCUCGAAUCUCGGAGAGGAUAGCGGAAUUUCCAGUGUAGCAGUGAAAUGCGUAGAUAUUGGAAGGAACACCAGUGGCGUAAGCGGCUAUCUGGACGAGUAUUGACGCUGAGGCACGAAAGCGUGGGGAUCAAACAGGAUUAGAAACCCCGGUAGUCC
Molecule: ribosomal RNA, 425 nt
Filed under: uncultured bacterium
Lineage: Bacteria
Description: partial 16S ribosomal RNA
Rfam family: Bacterial small subunit ribosomal RNA
Source: RNAcentral